This 481-nucleotide ribosomal RNA is filed under the name uncultured bacterium. RNAcentral's name for it is "partial 16S ribosomal RNA". It matches the Rfam family "Bacterial small subunit ribosomal RNA", at positions 28 to 523 of the family's 1533-position model. The record is from RNAcentral.
GACGAACGCUGGCGGCGUGCUUAACACAUGCAAGUCGAACGCUGAAGCCCUUCGGGGGGGAUGAGUGGCGAACGGGUGAGUAACACGUGGGUAAUCUGCCCUGCACUCUGGGUUAAGCCUUGGAAACGGGGUCUAAUACCGGAUAGGACACAUCGCCGCAUGGUGUGUGUGUGGCAAGGUCCGGCGGUGCAGGUUGAGCCCGCGGCCUAUCAGCUUGUUGGUGGGGUGUUGGCAUACCCAGGCGACGACGGGUAGCCGGCCUGAGAGGGUGACCGGCCACACUGGGACUGAGACACGGCGCUGACUCCUGCAGGGGGCAGCAGGGGGGAAUCUUGCGCUAUGGGCGACAGCCCGACGCAGCCACGCCGCGUGGGGGAUGACGGCCUUCGGGUUGUAAACCUCUUUCGACCGGGACGAAGGAUUCGUUUGACGGUACCGGUAGAAGAAGCACCGGCUAACUACGUGCCAGCCGCCGCGGUAA